AGAGAAACCCCCUUGGCACUACACGAGCUAUUUUUACAACGUAAAUACAAUUACCGCGGAUACACACAAAAAAGCACGUGGGUCCAGGACGAUGUACACAACGCACGCCUUCGGUGCCAAGGUUAGGGGCUUGCCCUCCUUACGCAGGGAAUCCCCAACAUUUUGAGGUCUGGAAGUCGUAAAGAGGAAUAUUUUUUGAUCUGCAGAGCAAAUGUAGGAUAUACUCUUGCUACUCCGAAAGGAUUUAUUCUGUUUGGAUGCUUGGUGGCGAAGAUCGAAGGGGUAUUCCGAGGAAUCACUUCGGGAGAUAUUGCACGGUGAGUCGACCCUGUGUACAUGUACAUGCAGUCAUCAUCCCACUCACGGAUCUAUACGCGCGUGCUUAUCUGUGGAUCAUUAUGCAUUUUUAUUUCAUCGUGUGUCCUACAAGAGUUUCAUCUUGCCCUCUGUAAGCGAAGAAGGAAAAACCCAAUAUUUUUCUAUGCAGCAAGACUACCUUUGAGAUACAAUAACAACAAAGAAACCACGGGGAAAUUUGUUGAUUUUUUUUUCAUAUCUACUUUGGCAACAGUAACGCUGAGUGGAAUUACUGUAGCGGCUGAUAUUUUAAACAAUGGACAUAUGGAUUGGAGCAAAAAAAAAAGAGCUUACUGGAAAAUAUUGGAAUUAAAUGCCACGAAACGAGGUGACAAAAUGCUGCAACGGAAUGCUUCAAUGCUCCUAGCCCCUCACGGAAUGUAGUGUUUCCUGCAGGAAUUCUGUGCAAUGAAAUAACAUUAAUGGGAUGCAGACUCGGCUUUUGUUCUAGGGAACAAUAGAUUGUGCCUCCUUGCCAGAAAACAAUCGAGCAUGAAAUGCAAAAUUCCAAGCACGGCGGUGUUUCCGAAAAAAAAUCCCCAGAUGAAACUGUGGCUCCGGGAAAUAUUACCAUGUCAACGGUAUAGACAUUUUACCGAAAGACCAUCUCUUGAGCACUCUGAUUUGGAUAUACAUGUACAAAGACAUGUGCCUCAUACAUUGAAACAAUACAGUCCUUGAAUGAAAGUGGCCGUUUGCUUUAAAAUCACACUCUUUAUACUUCGGAAUAUUUGAUUUGAAAUUAUUCUGUCAUCAGUGGAGAUGGAAGCCUCGAUAAAACUAUCUGAAUUUAAGGGCCAGAUUUGCAUAACAAUGCAAGAUGAUAACCAAACAAUGAAACAUAACAUCAAUUCAAGACAAAUACCUGAACACUGAGGAUGCCUCACUUCUGACGAGUAAUAAGAACGCGUCAUUACUGCAUCAGUAUUUCUUCAAUUUGAAGAAUCUGUAGAAUCCCAUCUCGAUAAAUAAUCCUGCUACAUUUUGCUUAAGCGGAUAAACAAGACUUGGAAAAACUAAUUAUAUAUUGUUUCAUAUCUAUUUCGCUCUAUAGAAACCACCAGUACCGCCGACGUGCAAAAAAAGGAAAAGGAAAAAAUGGUAUUCAUUUAUUGUCAAUAAACUGUGCGAACGAAUUUUUAAGCAGACAAGGAAGCCGAAUAUUCGAUUGUACUUCCUCUUUUGUACGAGAGUUCAAUUUUCAUCGACAGUCCUGGAAACCGAACGUCAUGGGAAUCCCAGAGAAUGUUGAAAAGUCACAAAAGUGCUCUUAAAGAGGGAGAGAAAACAUAAUUGAUGGUAUUAGAAAGGAUUGGAAUUGCCGAACAUGUGAUCCCAAGCUUCAGAGGCCAUGGCAACUAGAUUUCUUAAUGAACGUGUAGAGCGUGAUUCAUUGUAUUCAACGCUCUUUGUUCACUUCCGGGUGAACCACCACGAGUGGCCUAAGAACAAAAGUGGAAUAUGGAAUAAAAACAGCUACUCACUGAACGACCAGCAAGUACUCAGAUCAGGUAUCGCCAUGACGAUGGAGGAGCAUCACCCUGGAUGAGAGAUCGCGUGACCCCUGUCCAUUCAGAUGCUGGCCUCAUCCUCAUCUUCCCUCAGUAUCCUCGUCCUCCUGUGGUGUCAGUGACGAGGAGCAAUUGCCAACUGCAAAAGAUUGUACCAUGCCCAGCAAUAUCAAGAUGUGCGUUAGGUCACUGCGGACACCAAGAAGAUUUCAUGAUGUGUGAACCUGGUAGGCCAUGCCAACGUUGAGCAACUUUCAAUCUUGGAGUGCAUUUCUUGUAGUUAAGAAUUCGCAUGAGUUUUGUUUUUUCACUGACAUAUUUUACAAAUUUGAAACAUUUUGUCGAGUUUAUGCAUUGUUCAAUUUCAUCCAGUUAUUAUUAUUUUUUGCCAUGUACUAAUCACACACAUAAACCAUUUUCUUAGAGUUCAACCCAUCGUUUAUAAGUCAUAAUAACAUGUAUGAGCCAAGUUCAUAAUUUCAUGCAGGUAUAAGAAAAAGUUUAGCAACUUGGGUGUUGCUGAGCAGUGGCCCUGAUGUCAUUACAAAGUUCAUCAGAAGUUAAAUCCGAAGUAAGGCAAUGCAUCUCUGACAGCUAGGAAUAAUUUGUCACUUUACUUGAGCUGGAUAUCUUAUGGCUCACUUAUGGUCCAACAGCAUCCCUCCCCGCAUAUGAUAAACUUGCAGAGUUGAGGCGGGCAGUGUGUUUAUAUGCAGAGAGCUACUUUUAGUUUUCAUAAAAUAUCAUAAAAUCAAUAGACUGUGUCACUUUAAUCUUUAUGGGGGCCCAGAUAUCUUAAUUACGCAUACCUUUCCUCCACUAUUUAAAUCUUAGUAGUGCCAGCAAGACCAGCGUGAUCAAUGAAAAAGAAUGUGUAUGUACAUGGGAUGGGGUGGGUGAGGCUGUUGGUGUGGGGCCACUGUGUAUGCCAUUGCAAGGGGGAAGGGGAUCUGCACAAAGUUGGUAGUUUUUGUUGGCAGAGUUGUGGAUGGCCUGUUUGGGUUCUCCCCUGAUGACUUGGUAAUAACUCACAAUAACUUAAGAUAAAUAACUUAAGAAGGAACACUAAAAAAUACACGGCGGUCAGUGUUGUAGUCGAGACCAGCGCAAGACCAGUCACAAGUAACCGGGUGAACAGUGACAAGAGAAUGCUUUAGUUGGGGUUCAUGUGAAUAGCUUGUGACUUCAAUUCAGACUGGAGGUCAUGUGUUGGUCUUGUGUGGUCUUGUAAAGAUGGUUUCCCCUGCAACACUGACUACAGUUCAGAUGUCGCUCUCACUGUUUAGUCUUUGUAUUUUCUAUUGAUUGUACGUUCCUUUUUACAACACAUUCAUAAGAGCAUGGUGUAAGGUAAGGCAAGUUUGUAGUUACAUUUAAGUAAAUUUGACUCCCUACAGUCCUGAUGAUCUGUUUGAAUUGAGACAUAGUACACUCUUGGCCUUCCUUUUCUUCAUUGAGCUAGAAUUGUGCACUGUUUUCGGCAAUUACGAUGUAGCCGUAGGAGCAUGUCACGACACCUUGGUGCUCAUCGCCCCUUACUUAUUUCAUGUCAGUUAACAAUGGAAGACUUUGAGACGCUGUUGGUAGCAGACAUACCGGUCCCUUUUCAAGGCAUUGUGAAUACUCAUACAGCGCGUGCAUGCUCAGAACUGGUAAAAAGGACCGAUAUGUUUGUCGCCUCCAAGUAUCUCAAAGUCUCAAAUUAAUGUGUGUAAGCCUAUCACUAGAGAUGUCCUGUUGCUUUCUUAAUCAUUCCGUUUGGUGCAUAUUCACAUUAAUUGUAAUUUUGUCACUUUCUGCUUACUAAUGUAAUUAUUUGCUGCAGUUUUUUUUCAUUUACUGGUACAAUUCUGAGUUGUUUAUUAGCUUGCAUACUCAGUAGUUACGACUUAUUGGGUCUACCCAAUUGCAGCUUAUUUGUAAAGUGUACUUCAUGUGAGACCAGUUAUAAAACCUCAUUUAUGUCAGGAUUAAUAUGUCCUUGUUUGGAUAUAGAUGCAGCUGUCUGCUUUCACCGGCUCGUUUUUUAACAUUUUAUGGGACAUGUAUGGUUCAAAACAAUUGAUCAUAAUACACUGCAGUUAUACAUGUAUUACACAUAUCAGGGGAAUAAAUGUCCAUCGGAUCUUUAUUUGAGACUGUGUGUAUGCAGUGUAUAUAGUUGGCUUGUGUGGAUACAUGGCUUUUAUAAAAGAGUUGAGGGGAGUUAAA
This 4079-nucleotide unclassified non-coding RNA is filed under the name Acanthaster planci (crown-of-thorns starfish). RNAcentral describes it as "uncharacterized LOC110978346, transcript variant X3". Lineage: Eukaryota; Metazoa; Echinodermata; Asteroidea; Valvatida; Acanthasteridae. The record is from RNAcentral.